AACAGGAUUAGAUACCCUGGUAGUCCAUGCCGUAAACGAUGUCUACUAGCCGUUGGGGCCUUUGAGGCUUUAGUGGCGCAGCUAACGCGAUAAGUAGACCGCCUGGGGAGUACGGUCGCAAGACUAAAACUCAAAUGAAUUGACGGGGGCCCGCACAAGCGGUGGAGCAUGUGGUUUAAUUCGAUGCAACGCGAAGAACCUUACCUGGUCUUGACAUAGUAAGAACUUUCCAGAGAUGGAUUGGUGCCUUCGGGAACUUACAUACAGGUGCUGCAUGGCUGUCGUCAGCUCGUGUCGUGAGAUGUUGGGUUAAGUCCCGCAACGAGCGCAACCCUUUUCCUUAUUUGCCAGCGGGUUAAGCCGGGAACUUUAAGGAUACUGCCAGUGACAAACUGGAGGAAGGCGGGGACGACGUCAAGUCGUCAUGGCCCUUACGACCAGGGCUACACACGUGCUACAAUGGUCGGUACAAAGGGUUGCUACCUCGCGAGAGGAUGCUAAUCUCAAAAAGCCGAUCGUAGUCCGGAUUGGAGUCUGCAACUCGACUCCAUGAAGUCGGAGUCGCUAGUAAUCGCGGAUCAGAAUGCCGCGGUGAAUACGUUCCCGGGCCUUGUACACACCGCCCGUCACACCAUGGGAGUUUGUUGCACCAGAAGUAGGUAGUCUAACCUUAGGGGGGACGCUUACCACGGUGUGGCAGAUGACUGGGGUGAAGUCGUAACAAGGUAACC
This 731-nucleotide ribosomal RNA is filed under the name uncultured bacterium. RNAcentral describes it as "bacterial SSU rRNA". It matches the Rfam family "Bacterial small subunit ribosomal RNA", at positions 771 to 1501 of the family's 1533-position model. The record is from RNAcentral.